AACGAACGCUGGCGGCAUGCCUAACACAUGCAAGUCGAACGAAACCUUCGGGCUUAGUGGCGCACGGGUGCGUAACGCGUGGGAACCUGCCCUUAGGUUCGGAAUAACUCCCCGAAAGGGGUGCUAAUACCGGAUAAUGUCUUCGGACCAAAGAUUUAUCGCCUUUGGAUGGGCCCGCGUUGGCUUGGCUAGUUGGUAGGGUAAAAGCCUACCAAGGCGACGAUCCAUAGCUGGUCUGAGAGGAUGAUCAGCCACACUGGGCCUGAGACACGGCCCAGACUCCUAGGGAAGGGAGCAGUGGGGAAUAUUGGACAGUGGGGGAAAGCCUGAUCCAGCAAUGCCGCGUAAGUGAUGAAGGCCGUAGGGUUGUAAAGCUCUUUUACCCGGGAUGAUAAUGACAGUACCGGGAGAAUAAGCUCCGGCUAACUCCGUG
RNAcentral lists this ribosomal RNA (433 nucleotides) under uncultured bacterium. RNAcentral describes it as "partial 16S ribosomal RNA". It matches the Rfam family "Bacterial small subunit ribosomal RNA", at positions 29 to 507 of the family's 1533-position model. The record is from RNAcentral.